This 253-nucleotide ribosomal RNA is filed under the name uncultured bacterium. Its description in RNAcentral is "partial 16S ribosomal RNA". It matches the Rfam family "Bacterial small subunit ribosomal RNA", at positions 524 to 776 of the family's 1533-position model. The record is from RNAcentral.
UACGUAGGGGGCUAGCGUUGUUCGGAAUCAUUGGGCGUAAAGAGCGCGUAGGCGGCCAGAUAAGUCCGGCGUGAAAGUCACAGGCUCAACCUGUGAAUGCCGCUGGAAACUGUCUGGCUAGAGUCCGGGAGGGGAGAGUGGAAUUCCUGGUGUAGCGGUGAAAUGCGCAGAUAUCAGGAGGAACACCAAUGGCGAAGGCAGCUCGCUGGAACGGUACUGACGCUGAGGCGCGAAAGCGUGGGGAGCAAACAGG